UUUUACUGAUGUGCAAGAAUGUUAUCGGAUUUUGAUAUGAGAUACAUGUACCAUUUUGUACUUUUAUUUAUGUGGAUUAUUUGUGUUUCUUGCAGUUGCUACAAACAAUACCAUAAAAAUGUUUCUGACGAUUGCAUUUAUAAUUUCUUUUUGAAUGGAACUGUUUGUCAAGAAUGUCCAGCUGGGUAUUUUGGAAAAAACUGUUCAAUGCAGUGCAUCCCUCCUGAUUAUGGAUGUUCGUGUACUCAGCAAUGUAGCUGCCCAGUAUGCCAUCAUAUUCUUGGAUGUAUUUUUACUACGAAGUCCGCGAGUACUGAUCUAGAAUACAAAAAAGAGGGAAAUGCAGAACCACAAGGAACUUCAUGUAUGAACUCUCAAACUGUUUCCACCAACUUGAUUAUCAUUUUAACUGGAGUUGUGAUUACACUUUCAAUAUUUUCUCAAUACUAGAUGUUUUACGCAAACAUUGUUCGUCAGAAUAUGUCAAUGGAAUAUGUAACAAAAAUGUCGAGGACGAUUUCCCAGAAAUUGAGUCUGUUUAUCAUGAAAUGGAUUAGAUCUGCAUUCCAAAAGGCUCCUCAGUAUGAUAUUUUCUGAACUACACUCAGUAUACCUGAGUUUGACACCACCUGCGCCAUAUGUGUACUAAAAAUAUUAUUUUAGUUUGAGAUAUUUAUAAUUUUGAAAUGACAAAAAUUGUAUAUUAUAAUGCAACAAAUUACCAAUAUAUAUAUAUAUCACCCCGUUAGUGCUUCUUUGCAAAACAUUUAGCUUAUUAGAUAAAAUAUUUUAAUGUUGAAAAGGGAAUAGUGUUAUUCUGAUAUUGAAAAAUUACGUCUCAAUGGCGUUAAAUUGUUAAUUCAAACAGAACCUAACAAUACUGCUCCGGAAAAUAAUGUCCGCCGGUUUUGCGUCGGGAAUUUGAUAAUCCCUUAGCUCAAGGAAAUAUUUAAUUGUGAAUUAAAAAGGAAACUUUUUUUUUUUAUUGAUUAACAGUGCUUUUCACAGAUAUUUAAACUUUUUAUUUCCUUUUUGAAAUUUCGGAAAUUUGAAAACCUUGACGAAAAACAUUCACUUUUAAUGCCUGAGUCUGUAUUACUUAACCUUUUUUUUAAUUAUUUUCCUCUUCUUUUUGAAGUAGGUAAAAGUACAAUAUUAACCAAAUUUGAAGACUUGAUCAUAUUGUAACUGUAUUGAGGAGCAAAUUCACACUUAUUCAUUUGCCUUUUGGUAUACUAUAAGUUACAUAAAAUGAACGAUUUAAAAAAAAAAAUUGUAUUAACAAAUGUUCUAAGUCUCUUAACGUUGUAUUUUUAGAAAUAUUUGUUGUGCAACUUUGAUCUUUUGAUUCAUGUAGUGAUUUUUCGUGCAAUUUGUCGAUUUUAAAUAAAAGCUUUAGACCAACAUAGCAGCACUCUUCUGUGAAGGAGGCUAGGUAGUCAACAAAUUAGCCAUCAAACUUUCUGUAAGUUUUAGAUACAUUUAUGAUUUAUUUAGCUAUUAACUAUUUUUUAGUAAGAGAAACAUCAUAUGCUUUAUCAUUCAAAUCUGAGUGAUUUUCAACUGUUUAUACAUGUAUAGAGCUCUUCUUUAAAAGAAAAUCAAUAGAGUCUAAAAUGGUCACGAAAAAUUAGUCCUCUAAAUUUGAA
This is a long non-coding RNA of Magallana angulata, 1649 nucleotides long. RefSeq lists it as uncharacterized. The transcript has 4 exons. The record is from RefSeq and is a predicted model, not a curated record. NCBI's taxonomy places the organism in Eukaryota, Metazoa, Mollusca, Bivalvia, Ostreida, Ostreidae.